Molecule: ribosomal RNA, 460 nt
Filed under: uncultured bacterium
Lineage: Bacteria
Description: partial 16S ribosomal RNA
Rfam family: Bacterial small subunit ribosomal RNA
Source: RNAcentral
CCUACGGGCGGCAGCAGUGAGGAAUAUUGGUCAAUGGACGCAAGUCUGAACCAGCCAAGCCGCGUGCAGGAAGACGGCUCUAUGAGUUGUACACUGCUUUUGUAAGAGGGUAAACUCAGAUACGCGUAUCUGUCUGAAAGUAUCGUACGAAUAAGGAUCGGCUAACUCCGUGACAGCAGCCGCGGUAAUACGGAGGAUUCAAGCGUUAUCCGGAUUUAUUGGGUUUAAAGGGUGCGUAGGCGGUCGGAUAAGUUAGAGGUGAAAUGCCGAGGCUCAACUUCGGAAUUGCCUCUGAUACUGUUCGGCUAGAGCGUAGUUGCGGUAGGCGGAAUGUAUGGUGUAGCGGUGAAAUGCUUAGAGAUCAUACAGAACACCGAUUGCGAAGGCAGCUUACCAAGCUACUUCUGACGUUGAGGCACGAAAGCGUGGGGAGCAAACAGGAUUAGAUACCCCUGUAGUC